AACCUAGCACACCUGCGGUGUGUACCUGCGGAGGGAUCAUUACAGAGUGUAAAAACUCCCAAAACCCAUGUGAACAUACCUUUUUGUUGCUUCGGCGGGAUCGCCCCGGGCGCCUUGUGUGCCCCGGAGUCAGGCGCCCGCCGGGGGACCCAAACUCUUGUUUUUAACGAGUAUCUUCUGAGUAACGUUUUUAAAUAAAUAAAAACUUUUAACAACGGAUCUCAGAUCGGAAGAGCACAC
This 240-nucleotide unclassified non-coding RNA is filed under the name soil metagenome. Its description in RNAcentral is "partial contains 5.8S ribosomal RNA, internal transcribed spacer 2, and large subunit ribosomal RNA". The record is from RNAcentral.